RNAcentral lists this non-coding RNA (90 nucleotides) under Pseudomonas sp. OV226. Lineage: Bacteria; Pseudomonadati; Pseudomonadota; Gammaproteobacteria; Pseudomonadales; Pseudomonadaceae. The record is from RNAcentral.
GUAGGAGCCGAGCUUGCUCGCGAUGAGGCCCCGGCAGCCGACAUCAAUGUUGAAUGUUCGGUCGCCAUCGCGAGCAAGCUCGGCUCCUAC